This 36738-nucleotide long non-coding RNA is filed under the name Triticum aestivum (bread wheat). Its description in RNAcentral is "long non-coding RNA (TAES_LNC014934)". The record is from RNAcentral. Lineage: Eukaryota; Viridiplantae; Streptophyta; Magnoliopsida; Poales; Poaceae.
UCACAUCUCUCUCCCUCACCCUUCCUUCUCCACCUCCGGCCGCCGCCACGGCCAGGCCAUCGUGGUGGUGCGCCUCCGCACCAUAAGCACACCCACCACAAACAUCCACCACUCACCACCAACUUCACCACCAACACCCAUCUCGCCUGCCGUACCCGCGCGCCUCCACCUGCUGCUGAUUCUCCUUGCUGCUCCCUUUGCCUACCUCGUUGUUGUUCUUCUUCCCGACGUCCUCCUUGCUGCCCUUCUGCUUCUCCUCUGCUUCCCCUCUACUAGCGCCUCAACCUGCUGCUUCUUCUUCCCCAAACUUUGCUGCUGCUCCUUCCCUCUCCUCACGUCCCUGCUGCUGCACUUCUUCUCUCCCAACGCUACUGCUGCUACUACACUCUACUGCUUCCUCUUGCUAACCUGCUGCCACUUCGUCUCUCCUAUCUUCUUCUCCUAUAACCCUUCUGCUACUCCUUCCCUCGUCCUUGCUGCUGCUCUCUCCCUCUCCUAGCGCUGCUGCUUCUCUUCUAUUCAACGCCUGCUGCUGUUCUUCUUCUUGCGCCACUGUUGCUGCUCUCUUCUUCCCCUCAACCUCCUGCUGUAGCCUCUUCAUCUUCUCUGAACAUCUCCUUUUCUAUACUGCUGAAGCUUACUGCUGCUGCUCUCUCUCUAAAGUUUAUGUAAUUUAAGAUGUUUAGCACAUGUAAUAUUCAGAUUUUAUAAGAGCUUGCAACUUGAUUAUUGUUCAGUUUUUAUCUGUAAAAUUCUAUGUUCCGAAUAGUGUAUGUCUUGUUGCUUUGGGAAUUAACUGAUAUAUGAUAUGUUGUUGCUUUGGUAACUAGUGCUCUGUCAGCUUAUAUGUGUGUUCACCCUGUGUAUUUCUUCUCGCUGUACUCAUUAAUUUUUACUAGUAAUUUUUAGUUGUUAAAUACUGUUGUGUUGAUCCGUGGUACUAGUCUUGUGAUUUGUAUAAUCUCGUCCAUAUAUGCUUAGUCACUCGUGCACUGCUCUUAUUUCGAAGAAACUUAUUCAGUUUUGUAAUAUAUGUUUUAGCUCCAGUACUUGUGUUAUAAAGGUCUAUGAUAUAAAUGCCUCUUCCUUUCCUUAUAUACGUCUGCUAGAUAUAUUUGUGAUCAACUCUUGUUAUUUUCUUUUUGUCGAUGAUGAUGUCCUGUGUCAGUAUUUAGUUUCUAAAAUAAUAACAAAAUACCAAAAAGACAAUAAGAUAAUCUGAACCUCCCCUUGCUUAUUUUCAUUUUCUUUGUCGUCGACCUUUUUUAGUUUAGGUUUUAUUUUCUGCAUCCGUCUCUCAAAAUUGUGUUACCUAGAUUUAGCCGAGCAUAGUCGUCGUCGCCUAGUCCCUGUGGGGAACACGACACUCGCAGUUCGGGCGAAAUAUCCUGCUGUACUUUCAACUGAUUAUUUUGGCGCCGUUGUCGGGGACUAGCGUCGAACGAUUGUGUGAAGCUAUAGACUAGGCUUAGUAUAGUUUUUGUUUAAAUUUCCAGUCAAACUUAUUUCGGUGCUUCUUUUACCUUCUUACUUUUUGUUGCUUCGGCUUAUUAGGAUACUAACUUUCUGACUAGUGUUUACUGUUUAUGAGUGUGCGUAGGAAAUCUGAACUAAUUGCAGGUUGUUCUAUAGUUACACUCGGUUAAGAUGGCAUUGCUUCGUGAUCUUUGGAUGCCCAAAAGUCAGUGCUAUAUCACAGGACCGGUUUGGCCAACUAUUGAGGCAGAGAACUUUGAGCUGAAACCUAGUCUUAUUGCUUUGGUUCAACAACAAUAGUCUGGAGGACUGCCUACUGAAGACCCUUAUGAGCACUUGCUCCGAGUCAUGGAGUAUUCAGAUACAAUAAAGUAUCAUGGAGUUCCUCAAGAUGUUAUCAAGUGCAUGUUGUUCACAUUCUCUCUCCGAGAUGAUGCUCGUGCUUGGUAUUGAUUCUUGCCAUCAAGAUCAUUCAGUUGGAAUGAGAUAUCAUGAGCUUUCUUAGAUAAAUAUUUCCCACUACACAAGCAGUCCACAAUUCGAGAUGAGAUCUUCAGCUUUGUUCAGCGUGAAGGCGAGAGCUUGUAUGAUGCUUGGGAGAGGUACAAAGCCUUAUUCAGGAGAUGUCCUAACCACGGGCUCGAGAGAUGGUUAGAGCUGCAGCUAUUCUAUAGAGGAUUGACUUCGGACACUCGAUCUUACGUCGAUAUGGCAGCGGGUGGAGCUAUUACAAACAAGACACUUGAUGAUGCUUUUCUGCUGAUUCAGAACAUAGCCUUCCACCAACUUCAGUGGUACAAUGAGAAGCCCACCUCUGGCCCAGUUGCUUGCUUGCAACAAAUCACUUCAUCUCAGCAAGAAUCUCUUACACAGAAGUCGGAACCAGUUUCUCCGUGUGACAAGAUUGAGCUUUCAUGGAUUAUGUUUGAUGAUGAUGACACCAUCCUAGUUGACACACACACUUCAGAUCAUAUGGAUACUAGCAUUCUAGAUUCAGUUUUGCAUUGUGAUGAUUCUUCUGUGGAUGAACCAGAGCUACAGUUGGUUACUUUUGAUAUUGAGGAGAUACCUUUAGUUGAUAUUGAUCAUGUGCUGCUAGAGACAGAUAUGGAAAAGUUCACCUUUGAUGAUGUUAGCCACAUCGAUUCUUCAAUGUUUGAGCCUGAGAUAGAAAUCUUCAUUGUUGAUUAUGAUGAGGUCACUUCAGAUGUCAAGGAGCAAAGCCCUACUAUUUCACAUGUCGAUACGAGCCCGGUGGAAGUUCCUACUACCAUGCCUUCCAUGGUAUCUUCAGUUGAGGUAUUCAUAAAACUUCUCCAAGGCCAUUUCAGGUAUUAUCUCAGCUUUCUGGAUAAGUUAUGUCAUAUUGCUGAUAUUGCCUAUGCACCAUGUGACUUGUUGUCGAUACAUGUUCCUGAUUUGCUCAAUAGAUAUACUUAUAUGAUAGGGUACUCUAUCGAUGACUUAGAGGGCAUUCUCUCUGUCACUUGUAUUGGCUUGGUUGUUGAGUGUUCUUUCAGGUUGAUGCUUGUGCACCAUUUACUACGAGUUGACCGAGUUCGAGAUGACAUUCCCUGGGAUCCUGGUGGAUUCACGGCAUGGUGAUGAGGAGAAGCAAUGGGCACACGCGAAGAAGAGUGAAGCUGGAGCAUGCACGAGGAAGCAACGGAGAAGAGCUGCAACUUAGAGAGUGAUCAAGCGAGUGUUACUUCAUAGUGCCCGGUGAGCUGUUUCAUGACCCAUUCUGAACAUCAUAAAUACAUGCUGAAUUCAAUUGCUAGUUGGGUUGCUUGAGCCAGUUAUUACUUAUUGUCAAGCUAAAAUUCACCUUUGGCAUCGUGCUUGUUGUGAAUUUGUGGACUUGAUUUCUGAAUGCCUUGUAAACUAGUGAUCUACACCAUGCAUGCUUGGCUGAAAUUAGUGAGAACUAUUAGUUUUGAGUGCUCAAAUCCCUAGUACACUAGAAAACUUCGUCAUUUUCUGCAUUUACUAUGAUACACCUAGAUCACCAUGUUUAGAUGCUGAAUUUCUGCGAAGUGUGUUCCUAUUGAGAGCAAUCACCUAACCACUAUGGAUUAGCAUGCUAUGUUCCCUGGAUCGGUAGCAUGUGAACCAGACAUGGAGAAGUGAGGAUUCCUUUUUUUGUGCUUAUGUGUUGUUCAUUAAAAAAAUACCUUAUAAUGAAUAAUUAUCAGAUCUUACCCAACGGUAGCAUGUCAUGUUCCCUGGAUCGGUGGCUUGUGAAAUGUGGUUGGAUCGGAUAGGAGUUAAUUAUAUUUAAAAAAUGUAAUUGUCGAACCAGGUGUAUACCAUGUUCUCGGGAUCAGUGGUAUGUUCCUUUGGGGAGACAAACAAAAAAACUAAAUAUUGGUCGAGCCAGGUGUAUACCAUGUUCUCGGGAUCGGUGGUAUAUUCCUUUGGUGAGACUGGUAAAAUAUUAUCAUUGUUGCUUCCUCCAAAUCCAAUAAGUGGUUCUACUACAAUGUUGUGUUCAUGGUAAUAAGUGUUUCUCGGGAUCAUGCUCUCUUUAGGAACCUUUGGCACAGUCAUCAUUUAAACUUGUUGAUCCUCUUUUAUCAUUGUAAAAGUUUAAAAUCAUCAUGCUUACUAGUAUCCUACUGCUUUGUAGCACUCUUAACCAUUAAUUUUCACUAGCUAAGUCUGAAGCACGCCUUGUUUGGAGAUCUAUUUUACUAGGACAUUCUUUCCUCAAUUCACUAUUCAUACUAUUGCUCUUGUCAUAUGCCUUUGCUUGAGGACAAGCAAAGAUUUAAGUGUGGGGGAACUUGAUAGAGCAUUUCCUCAUAUAAUCUUUUUAGCCUUUUUGCAUCACAUUGUAAUCAUAUUUUCACAUUAUUUACUGAAGAAAUAUUCGGAUGUUCCCGUUAUAUUACAUUUACAACACUCCUCCAUGUUUUGCAGAAAAGGGUGAAAAGGCCCAAAAUCCUUCUAUAAUGGAGAGUGUCAAGAAGUUGUGGUUACUGUAAUUUACGGAGGGAGUCAAGCGUGAAGAAAAAGAAGUAAUCAGAGGGGCCAAACUUAAGAGGAGGACCAACUUGUGCAGAGAGAAGAAAAGGACAGGGGCCAAUGUGCAAAUGGAAGAUCCGAUCGGGGGAAUCAAAUCCCUAGCGCUCUCAGUCCUCAAAAUCGGGCCUGGCAUCACAUCUCUCUCCCUCACCCUUCCUUCUCCACCUCCGGCCGCCGCCACGGCCAGGCCAGCGUGGUGGUGCGCCUCCGCACCAUAAGCACACCCACCACAAACAUCCACCACUCACCACCAACUUCACCACCAACACCCAUCUCGCCUGCCGUACCCGUGCGCCUCCACCUGCUGCUGAUUCUCCUUGCUGCUCCCUUCGCCUACCUCAUUGUUGUUCUUCUUCCCGAUGUCCUCCUUGCUGCCCUUCUGCUUCUCCUCUGCUUCCCCUCUCCUAGCGCCUCAACCUGCUGCUUCUUCUUCCCCAAACUUUGUUGCUGCUCCUUCCCUCUCCUCACGUCCCUGCUGCUGCACUUCUUCUCUCCCAACGCUACUGCUGCUACUGCGCUCUGCUGCUUCCUCUUGCUAACCUACUGUCACUUCUUCUCUCCUAUCUUCUUCUCCUAUAACCAUUUUGCUACUCCUUCCCUCUUCCUUGCUGCUGCUCUCUCCCUCUCCUAGCGUUGCUGCUUCUCUUCUAUUCAACGCCUGCUGCUGUUCUUCUUCUUGCGCCACUGUUGCUGCUCUCUUCUUCCCCUCAACCUCCUGCUGUAGCCUCCUCUUCUUCUCUAUACCUCUCCUUUUCUGUACUGCUGAAGCUUACUGCAUGAUUGUAGCUAACAACAUGAUUGUAGCUAACACCCUCUUUAGAAAGAGAGAAUCACAUCUGGUGACUUUUAGUAGUGGCCAACACUCUAGCCAUAUUGAUUUCAUCCUCUCAAGAAGAGAAGAUAGGCGUGCGUGCCUAGACUGUAAGGUGAUACCUGGAGAGAGUAUUGUACCCCAGCAUAAGCUGGUGGUUGCUGACUUCCGCUUUCGGAUUCGUGUCAAGCGGGAUAAGCAUGCCAAAGUCGCUAGAACGAAGUGGUGGAAGCUCAAGGGGGAGGUAGCUCUAGCAUUCAAGGAGAGGGUCAUUAAGGAGGGCCCUUGGGAGGAAGGAGGAGAUGCGAACAAUGUGUGGACGAAGAUGGCGACUUGCAUUCGUAAGGUGGCCUCGGAGGAGCUUGGAGUGUCCAGGGGAAGGAGAAGCAAAGAUAAGGAUACCUGGUGGUGGAAUGAUGAUGUCCAGAAGGAUUAAAGAGAAGAAAGAUUGCUUCAAAUGCCUAUACCUAGAUAGGAGUGCAGACAACAUAGAGAAGUACAAGAUGGCGAAGAAGGCCGCAAAGCGAGCUGUUGGUGAAGCAAGGGGUCGGGCAUAUGAGGACCUCUACCAACGGUUAGGCACGAAGGAAGGUGAAAGGGACAUCUAUAAGAUGGCCAAGAUCCGAGAAAGGAAGACGAGGGAUAUUGGCCAAGUCAAAUGCAUCAAGGACGGAGCAGGCCAACUCUUGGUGAAGGACGAGGAGAUUAAGCAUAGAUGGCGGGAGUACUUCGACAAGCUGUUCAAUGGGGAGAAUGAGAGUUCUACCAUUGAACUGGACGACUGCUUUGAUGAGACCAGCAUGCGUUUUGUGCAGCAAAUCCAGGAGUCUAAGGUCAAGGAGGCUUUAAAAAGGAUGAAAGGAGGCAAGGCGAUGGGCCCUGAUUGUAUCCCCAUUGAGGUGUGGAAAGGUCCCGGGGACAUAGCGAUAGUAUGGCUAACCAAGCUUUUCAACCUCAUUUUUCGAGCAAACAAGAUGCCAGAAGAAUGGAGACGGAGUAUAUUAGUACCAAUCUUCAAGAACAAGGGGUAUGUUCAGAGUUGUACUAAUUACCGUGGAAUUAAGCUGAUGAGCCAUACAAUGAAGCUAUGGGAGAGAGUCAUUGAGCACCGCUUAAGAAGAAUGACAAGCGUGACCAAAAAUCAGUUUGGUUUCAUGCCUGGGAGGUCGACCAUGGAAGCCAUUUUCUUGGUACGACAACUUAUGGAGAGAUAUAGGGAGCAAAAGAAGGACUUGCAUAUGGUGUUCAUUGACUUGGAGAAGGCCUAUGAUAAGAUACCGCGGAAUGUCAUGUGGUGGGCCUUCGAGAAACACAAAGUCCCAGCAAAGUACAUUACCCUCAUCAAGGACAUGUACGAUAAUGUUGUGACAAGAGUUCGAACAAGUGAUGUCGACACUGAUGACUUCCCGAUUAAGAUAGGACUGCAUCAGGGGUCAGCUUUGAGCCCUUAUCUUUUUGCAUUGGUGAUGGAUGAGGUCACAAGGGAUAUACAAGGAGAUAUCCCAUGAUGUAUGCUCUUUGCGGAUGAUGUGGUGCUAGUUGACGAUAGUCGGACGGGGGUAAAUAGGAAGUUAGAGUUAUGGAGACAAACCUUGGAAUCAAAAGGGUUUAGGCUUAGUAGAACUAAAACCGAGUACAUGAUGUGCGGUUUCAGUACUACUAGGUGUGAGGAGGAGGUUAGCCUUGAUGGCCAGGUGGUACCUCAGAAGGACACCUUUCAGUAUUUGGGGUCAAUGCUGUAGGAGGAUGGGGGUAUUGAUGAAGAUGUGAACCAUCGAAUCAAAGCUGGAUGGAUGAAGUGGCGCCAAGCUUCUGGCAUUCUCUGUGACAAGAGAGUGCCACAAAAGCUAAAAGGCAAGUUCUACAGGACGGCGGUUCGACCCGCAAUGUUGUAUGGCGCUGAGUGUUGGCCAACUAAAAGGCGACAUGUUCAACAGUUAGGUGUGGCGGAGAUGCGUAUGUUGAGAUGGAUGUGUGGCCACACGAGGAAGGAUCGAGUCCGGAAUGAUGAUAUACGAGAUAGAGUUGGGGUAGCACCAAUUGAAGAGAAGCUUGUCCAACAUCGUGUGAGAUGGCUUGGGCAUAUUCAGCGCAGGCCUCCAGAAGUUCCGGUGCAUAGUGGACGGCUAAAGCGUGCGGAGAAUGUAAGGAGAGGGCGGGGUAGACCGAAUUUGACAUGGGAGGAGUCCAUUAAGAGAGACCUGAAGGAUUGGAGUAUCACCAAAGAGCUAGCUAUGGACAGGGGUGCGUGGAAGCUUGCUAUCCAUGUGCCAGAGCCAUGAGUUGGUUGCGAUAUCUUAUGGGUUUCACCUCUAGCCUACCCCAACUUGUUUGGGACUAAAGGCUUUAUUGUUGUUGUUGUUGUUGAAGCUUACUGCUGCUGCUCUCUCUCUAAAGUUUAUGUAAUUUAAGAUGUUUAGUACAUGUAAUAUUCAGAUUUUAUAAGAGCUUGCAACUUGAUUAUUGUUCAGUUUUUAUCUGUAAAAUUCUAUGUUCCAAAUAGUGUAUGUCUUGUUGCUUUGGGAAUUAACUGAUAUAUGAUAUGUUGUUGCUUUGGUAACUAGUGCUCUGUCAGCUUAUAUGUGUGUUCACCCUGUGUAUUUCUUCGCGUUGUACUCGUUAAUUUUUACUAGUAAUUUUUAGUUGUUCAAUACUGUUGUGUUGAUCCGUGGUACUAGUCUUGUGAUUUGUAUAAUCUCGUCCAUAUAUGCUUAGUCACUCGUGCACUGCUCUUAUUUCGAAGAAACUUGUUCAAUUUUGUAGUAUAUGUUUUAGCUCCAUUACUUGUGUUAUAAAGGUCUGUGAUAUAAAUGCCUCUUCCUUCCCUUAUAUACGUCUGCUAGAUAUAUUUGUGACCAUCUCUUGUUAUUUUCUUUUUGUCGAUGACGAUGUCCUGUGUUAGUAUUUAGUUUCUAAAAUAAUAACAAAAUACCAAAAAGACAGUAAGAUAAUCUGAACCUCCCCUUGCUUAUUUUCAUUUUCUUUGUCGUCAACCUUGUUUAGUUUAGGUUUUAUUUUCUGCAUUUGUCUCUCAAAAUUGUGUUACCUAGAUUUAGCCGAGCAUAGUCGUCGUCGCCUAGUCCCUGUGGGGAACACGACACUCGCAGUUCGGGCGAAAUAUCCCGCUGUACUUUCAACUGAUUAAUCAGGCAAAGGUUUAAGCUCAAACACGGGAUCACCCUUGGGUGGAGGAGGAUCCCCUAAGAUUUCAAGAGGCAAGUUGUGAUGCAGAAUAGGUUCUUGUUUAAAGAAUACUUCAUCUAUUUCCAUUAUUUCUUUCAUGAACAUAUCAUUUUCAUGGUCUAGCAAAUAGUGUUCUAAAGGAUCACUAGGAGGUACGGCAAUAGAAGCAAGACCAAUAAUUUUAUCAUUGCUAGGUAAUUCUUCCUCACGAUGUUGUUUACUAAAUUUAGAGAAAUUAAACUCAUGAACCAUAUCAUCCAAGCCAACAGUAACAACAUUCUUGGUGCAAUCUAUGGUAGCAUUGACAGUAUUUAAGAAGGGCCUACCAAAUAUAAUGGGACUAAAGCUAUCUUGUGGGGAAGUAAGAACAAGAAAAUCAGCAGGAUAUUUAGUUUUCCCACACAAGACUUCAACAUCUCUAACAAUUCCAAUUGGUGAAAUAGUAUCUCUAUUGGCAAGUUUAAUUGUGACAUCAAUAUCUUCUAACUCAACAGGUGCAAUUUCAUUCUUAAUUUCUUUGUAUAAGUCAUGAGGUAUAACACUAGCACUAGCACCCAUAUCACAUAAGCCAUGAUAACAAUGAUGUCCUAUUUUAACAAAAAUAACAGGCACGCCUACCACAUGUCGAUGUUUAUCUUUAGCACAAGGUUUAGCAAUUCUAGCAGUUUCACCUUCGAAUUGAAUAACAUGCCCAUCAAUAUUAUCAGACAAGAGAUCUUUAACAAUAGCAAUAUUAGGUUCUACUUUAACUUGUUCAGGAGGUGUAUAAGUUCUAAUAUUGCUUUUACGAAUAACAGUUGAAGCUUUAGCAUGAUCCUCUAUUCUAACAGGGAAAGGUGGUUUCUCAAUAUAAGAAGUAGGAACAAUAGGAUCAUUAUAAGUGACAGUCUUUUCUUCAACUUUAAUAGGUGCAACUACUUUUACUUCUAUGGGAGGAUGAUAUUUAAACCACUUCUCCUUAGGGAGAUCAACAUAAGUAGCAAAAGAUUCAUAGAAAGAAGCUACUAUCUCAGAGUCAAGCCCAUAUUUAGUGCUAAACUUACGGAAAAUAUCGGUAUCCAUAAAAGAUUUAACACAAUCAAACUUAGGUGUCAUACCUGACUCCUUACCUUCGUCGAGGUCCCAAUCUUCAGAGUUGCGUUUAAUUCUAUCCAAUAAAUUCCAUCUGAAUUCAAUAGUCUUCAUCAUAAAAGAGCCAGCACAAGAAGUAUCGAGCAUGGUGCGAUUGUUUUCAAAAAGCCGAGCAUAAAAACUUUGCAUAAUUAUUUCUCUUGAGAGCUCAUGAUUGGGGCAUGAAUAUAACAUUGAUUUAAGCCUCCCCCAAGCUUGAGCGAUGCUUUCUCCUUCGCGAGGCCAGAAAUUAUAUAUAUAAUUGCGAUCACGAUGAACAACAUGCAUAGGGUAAUACUUUUGAUGAAAUUCCAGCUUCAAUCUUUUAUAGUCCCAUGAUCUCAUGUCAUCACAUAGCCUAUACCAUACAAUGUGUCUCCCUUCAAAUAUAAAGGGAAGACCUUCUUCUUAGCAACAUCAUCGGGUAUACCUGCAAGCUUAAAUAAUCCACGAACUUCAUCCACAUAUAUUAAGUGCUCAUCAGGAUGCUUUAUUCCAUCUCCUGUAAAAGGAUUAGCUAGCAGUUUUUCUAUCAAACCCGAAGGAUACUCAUAAGGAAUUUCAUUUUCAAUAGGUUCAGUAGGUUGAGGAGCAACUCUUUGCUCUACUGGACGGGGUGAAGAUACUCUAAACAAGCCCCUCAGAGAAUUACUUUCCAUAGUAACAAGUGACAGUAAAUUUUAGCACACUAUAUAAAUUUUUCCUUACCAAAUUCCACCUACCAAAGGCGCUACACUCCUCGGCAACGGCGCCAGAAAAGAGUCUUGAUGACCGUCAGUGUCAAAACCGGCGGAUCUCGGGUACGGGGUCCCGAACUGUGCGUCUAGGCCGGAUGGUAACAGGAGGCAGGGGACACGAUGUUUUACCUAGGUUCGGGCCCUCUUGAUGGAGGUAAAACCCUACGUCCUGCUUGAUUAAUAUUGAUGAUAUGGGUAGUACAAGAGUAGAUCUACGACGAGAUCAGAGAGGCUAAACCCUAGAAGCUAGCCUAUGGUAUGAUUGUAUGUUGUGAUUGUUGUCCUACGGACUAAAACCCUUCGGUUUAUAUAAACACCGGACAUGGUUAGGGUUACACAAUGUCGGUUACAAAGGAGGAGAUAUCUAUAUCCAUAUUGCCUAGCUUGCCUUCCACGCCAAGUAGAGUCCCAUCCGGACACGAGACGAAGUCUUUAAUCUUGUAUCUUCAUAGUAUAACAGUCCGGCCAAUGGAGAUAGUCCGGCUGUCCGGAGGCCCCCUAAUCUAGGACUCCCUCAGUAGCCCCUGAAUCAAGAUUCAAUGACGAUGAGUCCGGCGCGCGGUAUUGUCUUCGGCAUUGCAAGGCGGGUUCCUUCUCCGAAUACAUCACAGAAGAACUUGAAAACGAGGAUAGUGUCCGACCCUGCAAAAUAAGUUCCACGUACCACCGUAGAGAGAAUAAUAUUUUCGCAGAUCUAAUUUGCUGGCUUGUUUUGGCAGCAUGACGUUAUGUCACGGCCUGGUGAUUAUUCGAACCGUUUCCUUUAACCAGCCCCGCACAUAACGCGGGUCAGUUUUUUGACACGUCUUGUCAAAGCAGAGAUCGUGUCCCUUUAUUACGGGAUUCUCAUCAAUACGGGCAUGGGUAACCCAACCGCGCCAUCAAUUACGGCGCUUGGGGGAUAAGCGAGUUUUACAAGGCAACAGGGGACGCUUAGCUUCGUCCGCCCAUAUAAAGGGAUAAGGAUUCACCUUUCUAUCCACGCCUUCUUCCUCCUUUGCUCAUCCGUUUUCGCACACUCAAACUCUAACGCCCAAGUCUGCUCUUCCCACCUCAACCUUCUCCAACCAUGUCCGGAGCGGGAGGCAGGUGGAUGGUCUCCUCUGUCACGAAGGGAGACAUCAAGAAGCUGCGCGGAGCCGGAUACUUAGUCGCGAACAUCGCGCAUCGGCUGCCCGCUGCGGGGCAGAUCGUCCCUACCCCGGAACCUCAUGAGAGGGUAGUUUUCCUGCACCAGUUCCUCCGCGGACUAGGGUUUCCCCUCCAUCCAUUCGUCCGUGGUCUCAUGUUCUACUACGGGCUGGACUUUCAUGAUCUGGCCCCGAACUUCAUCCUCAACAUUUCGGCGUUCAUCAUCGUGUGUGAGGCUUUCCUCCGCAUCCGGCCCCACUUCGGCCUGUGGUUAAAGACCUUCAAUAUCAAGCCGAAAGUAGUACGAGGCCAACAAGCUGAAUGCGGCGGAGCCAUGGUGGGCAAGAUGCCCAACGUCAUAGGGCUCGAAGGCUCCUUCGUGGAGAUGAUAAAGGGAUGGCAAUCGGCGUGGUUCUAUAUCACCGAGCCGUGCGAUGCCAAAUGGGCGGCAGCCCCUGAGUUUCGAUCCUGAUUCCCAACAUGGCUCACUUCCUGGAAAGAGAAGGGCUUGUCGUGGGGUUCAUCGGUGGAGCUGGAUGGACUCCAGAAAUGUAUCCGGAGUAUGGCGAGCAAGAAGCUCAAGCUUGUCAACAUAGUCCAAGUUAUGCUCAUCCGCCGGAUCCUCCUGUGUCAACAAUGAGAUUUUACCUUGUGGGAGUUCGACCCGGCCCAGCACCCGACUCUGAGCAAGCUCUUCGAUACGACGCACAAGGACGUCUGGAAGGUGCUAUUCAAGGGCGCCGAGGUCCCCCCUUCUCUCGCCGAGGACCGCGGACUAAGUGCAAAGCGUCUAGCGCGCUCGGUGAGUUCAAUACGUCCCGCAGGACAUUUAUUUUCCCUAGCUUAAUUAUGCGCGGGGUCUAAUCUCCAUGCCUUUGAUAGGACUGGGUGGAGAUGUCGAGGCAGAUUAACUGUCCGGCCCCUUUGCCCGAAGACACUGCGAGCGCUCUCCUGAGGGAGAUGCUGACUCCGGCUCCUUACAAGGUGUCGGAGAAGACCAAGAAGGCCAAGGGAACCCGAAAGAGUUCUCGGCGCCAGGUGUUAUCGGACUCAUUGUCUGAUAACUCUGCGGCACACUCCUCCCUCGAAGACGAGGAGGAAGAAGAAGAUGCUCCCCCUCCAGGCGGGGGAGACAAGAAAAGGAAGGCCGCCCCAACUGGGGAGGCCGAAGGGUCCAAGAAGGGGAGAACUCUCCUUCCGGACAGUUCCACCGCCGCCGACAAGGGCGAAGACGAGUGGUUGCCCCAGGCCAAGCCCCCGGGGAGAUCGUAAGUAUUCGGAUACACUACACCACAACACUACUUUCCCAACAUACAGAUUGGUUGGGAAAAUAGCUUCCGCUCACAAAUAGUCGGUUGGGAAAGACUAUUGCCGACCAACAUGGUCUGCUGGGGAAAGUCCAAACGAGAAAGCCUUUUCCCGACCGACAUAUCUUUCCCGACCGACUGUUGGACGGCUAAAGGAAACAUUACUGACCAACUUUCUGUUGGUCCUGGCACGAACCUUUCCCGACCGAUUUUCUCUUACAAACCUUUCCUGGCCGACUGUUUGACGGCAAUAUCUUUGCCGACCAACUUUUCGUUGGCCCAGCCAUGAACCUUUCCAAACCAAUAAUCUGAUGGUAUUAUCUUUGCCAACCAACUUUCUGUUGGCCCUAGCAUGAACCUUUCCCGACCAACAAUGGGACAGUGCUUCCUUUUGCCGACCGACGGUUCAUCUGCCCUUUGCCAAUGGUAUUUGGCAUAUUAUAUUAUCAAAACAAUAUCAAUCAUGUUACAUAUCUCAUCAUUAUCUAUCAACUGCGAAAGGCCAGGCAAUGGGGAUGGUCUUGAGCGCAGAAGCCAGCUAGUGUGGCUUGGAGCUGAACUUCUGGCACCCUCUACAUUUUUGGACCAACUCCUUGGCCUCUUCCAAGGUAGUCGGCCAGAAGAAACCGUGCCGAAAGGCUUUGGCGACGAGUGCUCUUGAAGCCGCAUGGUGGCCGCAUUCGCCUUGAUGGAUGUCUUUGAGAAUCGCCUGGCCUUGCUCUGGCUCUACGCAGCGCUGGUAGACACCAGUGACGCUGCGCCUGACCAGCUCUAUGUUGAUUAUGGUAUAGGCUGCCGCCUGGCGUUGUACUUGCCGAGCUGAGGUCUCAUCAGUUGGUAGCUCUUUGUUCACCAGGAAUUUAAGGAUGGGAUGGGCCCAUGAGGGUGCUGCUAUUUCUUCCACUACCAGAACUGCGACUUGGACGAGGGCAGCUGGGCUGGGAGGCGGCAGGUUGGAGUCAACAGCCGCUUGCUGGGUUAAUGAAGUCCCGGGCCGACUGGCGCGGGCCUUGGGCCAAGUUUUGGAAUCUUCGAGUCCGCCACCGCAGUCCCCGGGCCGGGCUCGACUGUGGCGGCUUUGGAGUCAUCCGCCAAAGUCCCCGUUCCGACUGCCGGAGCUCUGGAGUCGGAUCCGCCGUCUUCGGGAGGAGCCGGCACAAAAAUGGACUCUGAUUCUGGUGAAGGCUUGACAGACGGCUUGAGGAGGUGUUGAAGGGCGACGCCAGAGGGUAUUGCUUGGCGGGUAGAGCCGAUUCGUGACAAGGCGUCUGCUUGGUCAUUGUCAUUUCUUGGCACAUGGAGGAACUCGCACCCUUCGAAAUACCCACUGAGUUGCUGCACGAGGAAACGGUAGCUCGCCAUGUUUGCGUCUUUCGCGUCCCAGUCGCCAGAUGACUGCUGGACCACUAAGUCCGAGUCGCCAUAACACAAGAUCCGGCGGAUGCCAAGUUCUUUGGCAAGCCGGAGCCCGUGAAUAAGCGCCUCGUACUCGGCAACAUCGUUGGAUGCGGCAAAAUGGAUUUGCAGUGCAUACUUGAGCUUGUCGCCUUUGGGAGAGGUGAGGACGACACCAGCUCCCAAACCGGUGCGCAUCUUGGAGCCGUCGAAGUGCAUCCGCCAAUGGGUGGAGUCAGGCGCUGGAGGCAGGUACUGGGUCUCGUCCCAGUCGACAAGGAAGUCGGCCAGUGCUUGUGAUUUGAUAGUGGUGCGGGGUUGGUCGUAGAUGGUGUAAGGAGCCAGCUCUAUGGCCCACUUGGCCACUCGACCAGGAGCAUCUCGGUUACCGAUGAUCUCGGCAAGUGGAGCCGUGCAAACCAUUGUGAUUGGAUGCUCUUGAAAGUAAGGCUUCAAUUUCUUGGCAGCAAAGUGCACGCCAUAGCACACCUUCUGGUAGUGGGGGUAGUUCUGCUUGGAGGUCGACAGUACCUCGCUCAGGUAAUAUACUGGUCUCUGGACAGGCAGCGCCUUGCCUUCCUCCUUGCGCUCUACUACAAUGACUGUGCUGACUACUCGGCUGGUGGCGGCGAUGUACAGGAGCAUAGGUUCCUUGGGAGUCGGAGCCGCCAGGAUGAGUGGAGUAGUCAGCAUCUUCUUCAACUGGUGAAAAGCUUCGUCAGCCUUAUGGUUCCACUCGAAAAAAGUGGUCUUCUUCAUGAGUUGGUAUAAGGGGAGAGCUUUCUCGCCCAGCCGACUGAUGAAUCGGCUGAUGGGCGCUAAGCAGCUGGUGAACUUCUGCACAUCCAGUAGUUGGCUGGGUACCUCCAUUCUCUCGAUGGUCUUGAUUUUCACUGGGUUGCAUUCUAUGUCGCGCUCAGAGACCAGGAAACCUAGCAGCUGGCCGACUGGUACUCCGAAGACACACUUCUCAGGGUUGAGCUUGAUCUGGAACCGGCGUAGGUUCUCAAAGGUCUCCUUGAGGUCUUCCAACAGUGUUCCACGCUUUUCGGUCUUCACCACCACGUCAUCUACGUAGACGUGGGCGUUCCUGCCGAGCUGCUUGAGGAGACACUUAUGCAUGCAACUUUGAAAGGUGGCGCCGGCAUUCCUCAAGCCGAACGUCAUGGUGAGGUAACAGAAUGCUCCAAACGGCGUGAUGAAGGCGGUCUUCAACCUAUCAGCCGGGUUCAGCUUGAUCUGGUGAUAUCCUGAGUAUGCAUCCAAGAAACUCAACAGCUCGCAUCCGGCUGUGGAGUCUAUCACCUGAUCGAUUCUUGGUAGAGCAAAUGGGUCCUUGGGGCAGGCCUUGUUGAGGCUCGUGUAGUCAAUACAGAUUCGCCACAGCUUGUUCUUCUUUAGCACCAGGACCGGAUUUGCCAGCCACUCUGGAAAGAAAACUUCCAUAAUGAAGCCGGCUGCUAGGAGUCGGGCAAUCUCUUCUCCGACGACUCUUCUCUUCUCUUCUGAUAAACGGCGCAGGGGCUGGCUGACCGGCUUUGCAUCAGAUCGGACAUGUAACUUGUGCUCGGCGAAAUCCGUCGGUACACCUGGCAUGUCUUUGGGAGACCAUGCGAAGAUGUCUCGAUUCUCAUGGAGGAAAUCGACGAGCUCGCCUUCCUAUUUGCUGUCGAGGUUUGCACCUACGACGGCGUACCUCUCUGGGUGCUCCGGAUCCAGGGGUAUCUUCUUUGUCUCUUUGGCCGGCUUGAACGAACCAUCGGCUUCCGACUCCUUUGGGUCGGGUGAUAUCUCCGGCUGCUUGCGGCCAUUGCCACAACUCGUUCAAGGAGUCGCUUCUCGGCUGCGAUUACCAGGGACUCGGCCAGCCGACUGCUCUCGGCCGCGCAAGUGGACGACUUUCGAUAGUCACCGGCCACAGUCAGAAUUCCCCUAGAACUGGGCAUCUUCAUCUUGAGGUAGGCGUAGUGGGGGACCGCCAUGAACUUGGCCAAGGCGGGUCGGCCAAGUAGCGCAUGGUAUGGGAUCUCAAGGUCCACCACCUCAAACCAAACAGGCUCUCUUCGGAAGUGAUCUUUGUCCCCAAAGAGGACGUCAAUCAGGAUCUUGCCGAUUGGUGAGCAGGAAAGCCCAGGAACAAUGCCGUGGAACACAGUCCGGCUGUUCUGAAGCUGUCUUUGCUUGAUUCCUAACUUCUCCAUGGUGUCCUUGUACAGGAUAUUGAUGUUGCUUCCCCCAUCUAUCAGAACUCGUGAAAAACGCGCGGCCCGUUUGUCCAUGGCAAAGGUGGCAUCCAGGACCAAGGCGUAGGAGCCCGGACUCGGCAUCACUUCUGGGUGGUCAGCCCUGCUCCAGCUGAUGGGCUUCUCACACCAGUGCAUGAACUCUGGCGUCUCUGAGGCUACUGCAUUCACCUCUUGACGCUGCAGCCGCCUGCUACGUCGAUCAUCAGCCACACUGGUGAACACCACAUAGGCUCCUUGCUCUUCAGGGUAUUCGUCUUGUACUACGCCGACUGGCCUGACUGCCGGCUGCUGGGGUGGAGGCGGAGGCGGCUGCUCAGCAGGCGGGGGUGGCAGGAGGCCAUCUCCCUUGGCGAUCCUGGUCAGCCAGUGGCACUUCCGGGUGGUGUGAUUCGACGGCUUCGCGCCGCUGUGGAACUUGCAAGGUCCAUCCAAGGUCUGCUCAUAGGAGAAGGACGGCAACCAGUUCGGCUUGCCGCCUUUCUGUCGCUUGGGCGGAGGCUGCUCUUCUGGCUAUUGGGCUUCAACGGUCGCGACCUGCCGGCUGCCGGAAGCCGGCUGCGGGGCCUUGCGCUUGUUGUCGCCCUGCUGUUGUCGCCGGCCGGCGUCUGCUGCCGGAGUUCUUGGAGUUUGAGGAGCCACUUUGCCAGUCGUGCUGAUUUGAAUUUCCGCCUUCAUGGAAGAGUCGGCCGUGGCGUACUUGUCCGCUAUGAUCAGCAGCUCGUCGAGAGUUUCUGGCUUGUCGCAGAGGAGCUUGUGCUUGAGGAGGGUGCCUUCUCGGCACCCGGCUGUGAAGUACUCAAUGGCCUGCACCUCAUGCACACCCUCGCAGGAGUUCCAGAGCUCAGCCCAACGCGUGAGGUAGUCACGGGUCGACUCGUCAGGACCUUGCACGGACAGGGAGAGCUGACGAGGCUUGGGAGGACGCUUGUACAUGCUAGUGAAGUUGCGGACGAACGCUUCGAUGAAGUCGACCCAGCUGUUGAUGCUGCGGGGCUUUAGGCUGUUCAGCCAUGUCCGGGCCGUGCCCUGGAGCAUGAGCAGAACGUACUUUACGACGACACGCUUGUUGCCGUUUGCUAUGCUGACAGCCGUGGAGUAGUCGACUAGCCAGUCUUCUGGCUUCAUGGAGCCGGUAUACUUGGGUGUGUCUCUUGGGAGCGUGAACCCUCUAGGAAAGGGCUCGUCCCGAAUGCGGGGCCCGAAACAAGGCGGACCCAGCUCGUCUUCUUCUUCCAGCGCGAGGGACCGGUGAAGUCGGUCGAUCCGGUGGCGGGCGUCAUUCUCUCCAACUCCCUCUCAGCGGCCAAGGCGGUCACCGAGAGUCGGAUGGUCAACAGGCGGCGGGGAGACUCGCCUCUCCUUGCGGGGAGGGGGAGGCGGACAGUCGUCCCGUCAUUCCACUUCUCUCGGGCGGCCAUCUCGGUCGCGCUCUAUGGUAAUGCGAGUCCGACUGUGGCUGACAGACGACUCCUUGUCCUUUCUUCCUCGGGCGCUGCCAGUCGGCGUCCGAGACGUCGCGCCUUGAUCUCGGUGCGGGUCGUCGUUUGGCCGCUACGGCGCCUCCGUGCGGCAGCUGGCCUCAUUCUACAUGGCGGCCAUGUCGAGGAGCCACUGGACUCGUUCCAUCAUGAGGCGGCGUUGUUCGCCCUCAAAAUUGUCCAGCUCAUCCGCCGCUGCCUAGGCGGCUCGGAUGUUCUCCGCCGGUGUAGCGUACAUGGGGCGGCUAGCCCCAAACAGGCUGGCGAUGGCUACGCCACGCUGCUGGACCGUGCCAAGGCGGCUAGGCCCUGCCGGGGCCGGCGAGCCGCCGACGGCACGAUCCAUCUCCCGCUGGUAAGCUUCUGACAAGCGUCUCAUGCUGGCCAGCUUCUUCGCACCUUCAACGAGCUGAAGGCGGCGCGCUUCUAACAUCUCUGCGUCAGCAUCUUGCGGAAUGGGCGCAGCUAGGUCUUGCAGUGCCACGCCGAGUGAGUCGGGCGCUCCUCCGCCAAGGAACUCGUCAUGACUGAUGACUAGCACCGCGGUGACGGUGCUUCCGUCGCUCUCCGCGUGGGGGAGAGGUUCGUCAUAGACCACCACGUUGGUGGGGAACGCGUCGAUCGACGCGGUGUCGGAGUCGACCAGCAUUGGGUCGGUGGAGCCUACGGACUCCAAGUCUACGGCAGGCUCGUCGGAAACGUGGAGUUGAUCGAGGAGGCCCACGAGGAGGUUCUCGGGGCCGCCCGCGCCUGCAUUGGACGCAGGUUCAUCGAAGAGGCGGACCUCGCCAACGAGUUCAGCCAAGAAGCUGGCUGCGCAGGCGAUCUCAACGCCGCGCAGUGCGUCGAUGCAAACUUCGCCUGGUGUGCCUGGCUGGCUGCGCUCGCCAGGGAGGAAAAGGGUUCCCGUCCAGAACAGAUCUCCAGACGGCGGUGCACCAGGCCCCACGGUGGGCGCCAAAUGUCGGGGGUUUGGUGCGACAUAUGCCAACGGAUGGCUUAUCAUGGUGGGGGUGAGUAGAACGUCGCCGGUGCCUAGAAACGGGAUGAGGCGAAGACAUGCACGCCGGCGAAUCUUACCCAGCUUCAGGGCUCUCCGGGGAGAUAACACCCCUACUGCUGCUCUGCGGGGUCUCCGCAUGAUCACUAUGGCCAAGUGUUUACACGGUUGCUCCUUGAGCUGUUUCUGGUGGUAGAAGAGGGCAAGGCUAGCUCUCUCCUUCUAUCUGGUAUGGUCUAGAACUACUGGGAUCCAACCCUUUGCAUGGGUGCCCUGGGGGGUUUAUAUAGGCCUACCCCCCAGGGCUACAAUGGUAAUUUGUCUGGCUACGGGCCCAUCCGUCAGUGCCUCCGACCUUCGACUUCUCCGCCGACUGCUGGGGCCCACCGACUGGUGGGUCCCGUCGACUGGUCUGGUACGGAUCCGACAGGCCGCGUCCGUCGUGGGCGGGUCUUGCCGGCUGCUGAUUACUGUAGCCGUGCUUCUGAUGAUGCAGGCUUGGUCAAGGGGUCGUGGCAACAGCCCCGCCGCCUGGCGGGCGAUCACUGAGGCCACUCCCCAUCUCAUCUUGAUUAAUGGCAUGUGGGCCCCGGGGGAGGGCUCUGCCGACUCCCCUAAGCCGACUCCCGAUGGAUCCAACUGGCGGUUCUCCCGCCGUCUCCCGAGGUCUCGCUGACUGGUGGGCCCUGCUGCCUCCGGGCCGUACAGACAAGCCAUCGUGGGUGCAGGACUUGGUACUGUGGUGCUGAUGUCAGGGCUGGCCGGGCAACAGUGCCACGCCGCUCGGAGAUCUUCCCGGGUACGGCGUGUUGUGGCCGUGCCUGCCCUUGGUAAGGGGCGGGAGUGGGCUUCACUGUAGCCACGCCUCUGCCUCGUCCCCUUCGAUGAGGUCAUGAUUUGUUGGAGUCGCCGGCCGACUCCCCAAAGCCGGCUUCUCUGGAAGUCGUCCCUAGGACUCGGCCAUGAGUGGGCAGUCGGCUGCCCUGCCGUCGACUCCUCAGGAGGCGGCUCUUCGUCCCGGAGUCUUGAGGGGCGCAGCCUGCCCCGAUGUCUUGAAAGGUUAUGGGACUCGGGUUGGCCUACCCGUGGCCCAUUACUCCGACAGGGCCCCCAGCAAGGCCCUUGCCGAAGACACCUGCGGGGCCGCUGCCAGGCCCACGCCUGCCAAGACUCCACCGCCGCUCCCACAUAGCUGCUAGCUCGACCAGCUGAGCAGGCAUCUGCGUGGCAGCGCGCGGCCUCCACACCAACUCAGCAAGCACCUGCGUGGUGGCAUGCAGAUCUUCGUGAAGGCUCCACCACUGCGCCAGCCCAGCAGCCAACCAACGUGGCGCUACAAUGCCUCGUCAGCUUGAACGUGCAUCGGAGCCAGGAGAAGCGACGAUAGCUGGGACGAGCUUCUUUGCCGUCCCCAAUAAAGCAAGAGGGGCACGCCGGCAGCGCAUUAAAUCCGUUUGUUCGACGAUGCUAGAGGAUAUACUCAGCCACUGUACACCUUUGCACCUCCUGUGUGCCUCUGUGGAGACCCCUUUUGUCUAUAAAAGGAGGCUUGAGGUGUACUGGAGAGGGAUUCGGAUCUUUUGGACUAGACAGACACCACAGCUAGUUCAAGAACACAAGAACACUCAAAUAUACACAAAAGCAGGAAUAGGGUUUUCCGCUUCUCUGUCGGUGUCAAAACCGGCGGAUCUUGGGUAGGGGGUCCCGAACUGUGCAUCUAGGAUCGAUGGUAACAGGAGACGGGGGACACGAUGUUUACCCAGGUUCGGUUCCUCUCUAUGGAGGUAAUACCCUACGUCCUGCUUGAUUGAUCUUGAUGAAUAUGAGUGUUACAAGAGUUGAUCUAUCACAUGAUCAUAAUGGCUAAACCCUAGAAGCCUAGCCUAUAUGACUAUGGUAAUGAGUAUAUCCUUUCCGGACUAACCCCUCUGUCUUAUAUAGAUACUGGGGGGAAUCUAGGGUUACAUAGAGUCGGUUACAUAAGAAGGAAUCUUCCUAGCCGGUCGCCAAGCUUGCCCCGCCACGCCAAGUAGAAUCCAAUCCAGACACGGGUACGGUCUUCGGCCUUCAUGUCUUCACAGGCCAUUAGUCCAUCCCAUGGAUAAUAGGCCGGACGCCCGAGGACCCCUUAGUCCAGGACUCCCUUAGUAGCCCCUGAACCUGACUUCAAUGACGAGGAGUCUGACGUGCAGAUUGUUUUCGGCAUUGCAAGGCGGGUUCCCCCUUCCGAACUCCCAAUUGAUCUUCCGAUGUGAUGAUUGUAUCCGGACUGGUAUACACAACCGCAGAGGAAUAUUUUACGAGUUCAACCCAUCGACCACUUUUUGGUAAUAUGACACCACACCUGCCUGGCCACUACUUGCGAACCGUUUUAGCCGGCCCGUCGCCCCAUGUCCCAAGACGUGGCUUUAUUGGCGCGUCUUAUCCAAGCGGAGAUCAUGCCUCCACUUUUUUUAAGGGAUUCCUGUCAACCCGGACGUGGGUAACCCAACCGUCGCUGGGAUACAACUCCUUGGAAAUAAGCAAGUUUUUGAGGCCCAAGAGGAGAUGUUUGAUAUUUGCAGCCUUUAUAUAGGGGUACAGACCCGUCUUUUUCUUCUAUGCUUGCCUCUUACUCGACCCUUGCAACUCCGAGUUCCAACACCCGGGUUUCGGUUGCCACUAGACCCAAUCAUGUCCGGAUCCAGCCAUCAAUGCUGGUGGGUUGCUUCUUCUGUUGUGGAGGAAGAUAUUGCAAAGCUUCGAGCGACGAGGUACCUGACUGCCGAAAUCCAUCAUCGGCUUCCUGCCGAGGGGCAGGUUAUUUCCAACCCCAGAUCCGGCGAGAGGGUCGUGUUCAUGUCCCACUUCCUCCGCGGGUUGGGGUUUGCACUUAACCCCUUAUUCCGAGGGCUCAUGUUCUAUUACGGUCUAGACUUUCCCGAUUUGGCCCCGGUCUCUAUUCUUCUUAUCUCGGCAUUUAUCGUCACGUGCAAAGCCCUCCUCCGAACUCCUCCGCACUCCGGCUUGUGGCUCAAGACCUUCAAUGUGAAGUCGCAAGUGGUAGAAGGGGAGCAGGUCGAGUGCGGCGGCGCUACAGUGAGCAAGCUUAUUAGCGUCGUUUGGCUAAAAGGAUCCUUCACCAAAUCUUCCGAUCUGUGGCAGCAGGGGUGGUUCUAUAUCACCGAGCCCCGCAGCUCCAAGUGGGUAACUGCGCCCGCAUUCCAAUCCAGCCCCCCAACUCAGCUUGCAUUGUGGAUUAACAAGGAGCUGGAUUGGGGAUCAACUAAUGAUGUGUGAACUCUGCAAAGUCGCAUCCGAAGCCUCAUUGAGAGGGACAUCGACAUAGCCAACGUCGCUCAAGUAAUGCUAGUUCGUCGGACCCUGCCGUGCCAGCGACGGCCUCUCUGCCUAUGGGAGUUCAAUCCAGAAGGGCUGCGGACUCUUCAGCACUUCUUCGGCACAACGCACGAAGGAAUGUGGAGAUUAUUCUAGGGGAAACAAAGGCAAUGGCCAGACACCACCGAAGAUGUCGGCCUAGACUGUAAUCAUCCGGAUACCCCGGUAAGUACCCGUUUACCGAAUACCUUAUAGUCAGAUACCCAGUGGCAAGAUACCAAUAGUAUCAUCCUUUUUCAGGGCUGGAUAAAGAAGGUGGAACUGAUUAGGUGCCCGGCUCCCCUUCCCGAAGACUCAACUACUCCUGUGUUAACAAGGAUGUUGGCCUCGGCGGCAUACCAGGCACCGGCAGGGGAGGGCGAGAAGGCCCAAGAUGACCUUGGUUCCGGAGGUAAGUCGGACACUGAGUCCGGACAAAUCUACCUUUCUUCGCCCAAAGACGGAGGCGAAAAAGGACCCAGUAUCCCUACUACAGGCAUGAGAAAAAGGGCCGCCUCCGAAGAUUGGGAGGGGCGGUCUUCUAAUGAGGGCAAGAUGCCACCGUCGAGCGCCCUGGGUUUGGAAAGUGAUGCCAUUAAAUAGCUCCAACAAGGGGACAAGCCCUCGGCCAAACCGUAAGAGAAUCUGGAGUAAUUUGAUAGCGUCCCACUCCGUUGCUGUUACCGAAGAUAUACGUAACGCAUUCAUGCAUUUUUACAGGUCGGCACAGAGUUUUUCUGGACGAUCCUCUUCUUCGAGGAGUCUCCUCCCAGAGAUGAUGGAGAGCAAGACGCCUCCUCCAAACUCCUCGACCAACAAGGCAGAUAACUCUGAAGUGUCAUCGUGGAGGGUCCCUUUUGACCAACAAGUUACAUAGGGGACAGAAGAGGCAGUACCCGAAGGUGGAGCACCGACCAUCCGGGAUCCGGGGCUGAUGAUAACAAAGGUCCCAGAUUGACUAGUUCGCAGCCGACACUGAUUCUGGAGACGGGUGAACAGAUUCCUUCAAAGAAUGAUUGUGCUCCUGGAGCAGCUUCGGGAAACUCGGAGACUCCGGAUAUAUUGCGGGACAUUUUGCGGAAAGCAUCUAUCUCGGGGGAACAAUGUACCUUGAUGGGUACAGUGAUUGAGAAGAUUUCAUCCGCGAAGAGCGGAUUAAAUGAAGCCUUCAUGAGCCUACUGAAGGGCUUCGAAGUUUGUGACAUAAUGUUUUUUGCUAUGUUUCAUUUGCAAAGAUGCGUCUGUGUAUAGGUAGUAGCCCCUGAUACUCGGGUUAGCUUCCACUAGGAAGCAAAAGGAGGAUCGGAAAAGGAUUGUUUGAGGACUAACUUGAUGAACUUUGAACACAGGCUGCUUCCCCCUUGGCCACUUCCCGGACUAUGGAGAUUGCCGAUGUGCAGCGGAAGCUUGAUGUGGCAGGGGAUGAUCUUGCUUUAAUCAAUAUGCGUCUGGACGAGUCGAAGGUAUGUAUUCGGGGCAAUCCUCAUACUUUUUUGUGGUAUAAGCAUAAUGCUGAGAUUUGGCUGCAGAUGGUGUUGCCGCUGUUGAAGUUCUUCGAGCGGAGCUGGCCCGGGCCAAGGAUCAGGCCCGGCGUAGCAAUGCUGUUGCCAAAAAGGCAUCGGCUGAAUUAAAAGCUGAACAAGCUGCACGGCGCCAAGAUGAGGAGAAGAUAUCCAUGAUGACGCUCGAACUGGAGAAUGCUACGGCCGCUGUGAAUUUCUGGAGAAGGAGAGAAGCCUUAACGGCUGAUCUGGAGAAGGCCUUACAAGAGGCGAGAGAAGCGCGGUCGGAAUGCAGAGUAGCCCGUGAGGACAUUCGACAGGCCAGGGAGAUUACGGCUGGAAAGCCCAUUCUGCUGCAAACUAAGUUCAGUGACCCGAACUAUGCCCAGCUUAACCAAGUAUGGAGUUCUCCGGACGAGUUCUUGGACUUGCCGAAGAGUUCUACCGAUGCGGCGCAGUAUUACCAAGUGCGGGAUGGAUAUGCAACAGAGAAGCUUUCUUGGUUGCAGUUUGGCGCAUCAAAGUGUCCUCUGUUGCUCAAUGAACAAAUGUCCCAAUGGGCCAUACUUCAUAGGAUAUCCGGCGCUGCCAUGAAGGAUGUCGUAAUCCGGUUGUGGCCAACCGAGCCUGUUCCGAAUAGCUAUUUCGGUUAGGUGCAAAGGCUUGUUGAUGCAGUGCCGUGUAUCGACAUUGUGAAGCGCUCAACGUGCAUUGAGGGUGCACGGCACGGAUGGCUUUUGCCAGAGUUAAGAUGUUCUAGGGGAAGAUGAAGGCCAUUGAUGUUGCGGCGAAGAGUCCACGCAAAGGCAAGGACCGUCCGGAACCAGAGCAUUAUUUUGAAGACGUCCUAGAGGCCGCCCGCUUUAUAGAGGGUUAGUGCUCAAAAGACAUAAUGUUCGAGUGACGUGUAUGAAAAUUGUAAAAGACAAUUUUAUAGUUAAUCUAUUUGUGUUUUGCUUGAAAGCUUGAAUUCCUCCUGUGCGGCCAUUUUGAUAUAAUCUAGAAGUUUUCCAGUCAUCGGCUUCAGCCCCCUCGUAGGAAGUACGGGGGUGUUUGGAAAAGCAUUUAAUCACUCUUUAUCCAACGUCUUGGUCCAUGAAGGAGGUGAUAAUGCGGCGAACCAGGCACUCGGACUAUAAGGCGUUAACACAUUCACUUAGCCAUAGGAGUUUUAUGGUGGGGCUAUGACAUAGCCCCUGGUAUGUAUGCGGCGUAUAGUGCCUUAUAUAUUUGAUUUGAAAAAGAUCCCUUGUGUGACACGGAGAAUCGCUAAAGAUUCCAAUAAGUCGUCAAGUGGCUGACCAGCUCACGCCGCAUCAUGACAGUCAGUUUUCGGCUUUCUCUACUGAGGUGCUCGUUCGGUUUAGGCCAGGGCACAAUCGCAGUAGUUCUCCCUUUACUACCCUAGCCGAUAGAGCGGAACGUAGGGUAGCAAGCACAUGAGCUAGGCAACCCAACUAUUGACCCAAGACUAUGAUUUGGAGCUGAUGCAUAUAAGGCCAAGCUUGCGAUGCGGAAGUAUGCUAUAGAACUGUUCAGACUUUUACCGGCAACUCAUUUGUUCCCACACCGAGCCCCUGGCAGGUUAUGCCAAGGUAUUUCUAUGAAAUAACCGUAGGAGCUAUGUUUGUCGGGAAAACAAUACAGAUGAUUAGUUCGGAUAUUGUUUACUGGUAACUGAGCGAUAUGCCAAUGAUUACUUAUGAUAUAUAUAUAAGCCGUCCCCCCGGCUAUUUGACAUGCUCGGGGUUGGAGGCGGAGGAACAGGCAUAGUACAGGCUCGAGAAAUAGAGAGUGCGGUCUACAAAAAGUUAUUUUGGACCUCCUGUCGCACGUCUGCGUCGCCAGUCCUUGGUGGGGGGAAUCCUUGAUGGAAAUAGCCCCUUAGGUGAGUGUAUGGACCCGGACUCUGAUAGAGCCAGUUUCUGAUGUUUAUCCUGUUCGUCACCUAUUUCUAAAGGAUAGCGAAGGAAGAAAUAAAAAGAAAAUAAAUAAUAAAAAAGUUACUGGAGUGCUUGCAGGCUUGUCCAUAUUGUGCUUCCGCCAAUGCCCAUGGUAUCUUGAGUGCGUAAUGAUGUAUGCGCGGUACAAACUUUGUAGGUGUACGGAGUGGGCGGCGGAAGCCGGGUUGCUAUUUCCGUUCUAGGAGAAGUUGAUCCUCGGGGGGAGACUGCUUCUGACCUCUGAUGUUUCGUUGGUGAACCUUUCCGUCAUCCCUGUCGCUUGGCGGCCUCCUCCUCCUGUGUUCGGCGUUGAGCUUGCCGGCCUGUUUAAGUACCCAGCAGUUUCUGUUGGUAUGAUUAGCUGGUUUAUCGGGGCAGCCAUGAAUCUGGCAGGGUCGGUCCAAUAUCCUGUCCAGGUGUCAGGACCCCGAUUCUAAGUCACACCGAUCUAGCCUGUAACACCUCAUAUCACUUUGCGGCCUCAUGCACGGUAUCCCCACGGGUGUCGCCUUACCAUGGCCCGGGACCAUUUGCGCCUUUUGGCUCACGUAUAUGAUAGUGUCACUAGCAUCCAUAUGACAGAGAACCCGGGCCGACAUGACUAGUCGUGAGCCCAAAGUAGCACUAACUUACAGGGAUAGGCAUACAUGAAUCAACAUCGAGCAUGUCGGUAAACCGGGCUGUAGCGGACUACCAAGGCUUAGUGGAAGCACCAGACUACAUUUCCCCAUAAGAGAGGCUACCAAAGAUAAACAACUAGAUUUUUGGAUCCCACACAUACCAAGCAUUUAAAUAACUUACACACAAUAUGCUCGAUAUGUGCAAAUACAACAUGGCAUCACAACAAAACUCUACGACUCAAAGUAUUUAUUCAUUAGGCUCCGAGGAGCGAGAUAUUACAAACAUGGGUCUCAUGACCCAACAUUCAGAGCAUACAAGUCAAAGCACAUGCAGAAGCUUAACAUGUCUAACUACACACAUCUACAAAUGAAAAAGGCUGAGAAGCCAGACUAUCUACCAGAUCCUACCGAGGGCACAAGAUCGUAGCUGAGGUAUCAAGCUAAACGUCGAAGUCCAACGGAACUACUAGCGAGACUAAAGUCUCUCUGCAAAACAUAAAUUAAGAAAACGUGAGUACAAAUGUACUCAGCAAGACUUACAUCAGAACUAGCUACAUAUGCAUCAAUAUCAACAAAGGGGGUGAUGGAGUUUAACCGCAGCAAGCCAGCUUUGACUCGGUGGCUAUCCUAAACUACAACUGCAAGUAAUUCUUUUGAGGUGACGCACACGAGUCCACAUAUUCACCAUAACAAUACACCACUAUGGAUCCGCUCCUGUCUCCCUACGAGAAGGCCGUCCAUAGCACUCACGCUUAUCUUGCGAGUUUUAGAGUAUCCACUUCAAGUUAUCUAUGAACUAUACAGGCAACCCAGAGGUCCUUUACCGUGGACGCGGCUAUUCAAAUAGAUCAUUUAUAACCCUGCAGGGUGUACUUCUUCACACACGCACUCGCCACUUACCACCAUGUACAUGUUGUGUAUCUCGGUAACCUUCAAGCGGAAGCCUGGCGAGGGAGUCGGCCAUGACCUAACUAACCACACAAGUCUCUAGUCCAGGUUUAUCGCCUAUUCGGGUUCCAUCCAUGAGGAGAUCCAGCCGGGGUUUCUCUCACAUCCCCAAACGAUGUGUACAGGGUUCCGCGACACCAAACGGGCGCCCGGCAUACCCAGCCACGGUGUAUCUACCACAUCAUAGCCCACCCCUAGGGUCAGCACUACGCACGGCCUCCAACACAUAUCCUACAAACACUAGAAACUAGUUGCAAUUCCUGGACAGAGGACAAGGGCAGUUGAUAAGUCGAGAGGGUCCAUUGGUUUCGGGCCCAAUGUUUGGUAGUAGUUUUUCAUGGAUCACAAACACAAAACCCAGUUCCCAAGGACGGCUUCAAUGAAUCAACCCACCAUUUACUCCUACAUGGCCUCUCAUCGACACCUUUACCAAAUCAUGUUCACACACUUAGCUCUCAAUAAUAGGACAUGUUCACACACCUCCAAUUCAUCCCCGAUGAAUCAGACCUAACUCAAUUCUAAGUAGUAGCGGGCAUAACAAACAAGCAUGAAUGAGUAGGCACAUCAGGGCUCAAACAACUCCUACUCAUGCUAGUGGGUUUCAUCUAUUUACUGUGGCAAUGACAGGUCAUGCAGAGGAAAGGGGGUUCAACUACCGCAACAUGUAACAAUUGAAUUGUUGUUGUCCUAAUGCAGUAAAAGAGAGCAGAAGUGAGAGAGUGGGAUUGUAUCAGAAUAAACAAGGGGGUUUUGCUUGGCUGGAACUUCUGAAGAUAGUAUAGUUCUUCAUCGAUGUCAUCGAUCUCAUCGUCGGAACCACAUCUACUAAGAGGGGACAAAUACCGACAACAGAGAAGGAACACAAUCAAUGCAAUGCAACAAUAUGAUGCAUGAUCAUGACAUGGCAAUAUGCUGUGAUUUGAGCUAAUGCAGCUAUCAACAGAUUAAAUGAAGUUGGUUUGAACCCAAGGUUCAAAUUCAAACUCCAUGUAAGGCAUUUCAAAUGCAUUUUAUUCAAUUUGUCAUAUACAGUGGCGGUAAGUUGUUCAAACAUGCAUGAGAAUUCCAUAGACAGAUUCUUCAUAUUUUUCUGAUAAUUUUUCAUAUAUAAAUUAUUUCAUUUGGAGUUACGGUUGAUUUUGUAUGAUUUUUAGAAGUUUUGGAUAUUUUCUGAACUAAAUAAAUCAUUUCUGAUUUAUUUUAAAUCCCAGAAAAUAUUUACUGCGUCAGCACUACAUCAUGCUGACAUCAGCAGGUCAACAGGAGCGUUCCAGGUCAAACCUCACCAGUGGGGUCCACUGGUCAGUGACCCAGUGUUGUUCAGUGACAAUGACACGUGGGUCCAGUCAACGGACACGUCAGCACAGUCAAUGCUGACACGUGGGUCCAGGGUAAUUAGAUUAAACUUAAUCUAGUUUAGUUAGUGAUGACCCACAAGUAUAGGGGAUCUAUCGUAGUCCUUUCGAUAAGUAAGAGUGUCGAACCCAACGAGGAGCAGAAGGAAAUGAUAAGCGGUUUUCAACAAGGUAUUCUCUGCAAGUACUGAAAUAAGUGGUAACAGAUAGUUUUGUGAUAGGAUAAGUUGUAACGAGCAAUGAGUAACAAAAGUAAAUAAAGUGCAGCAAGAUGGCCCAAUCCUUUUGUAGCAAAGGACAAGUCGGAACAAACUCUUAUAAUAGGAAAAGCGCUCCUGAGGACACAUGGGAAUAUCAUCAAGCUAGUUUUCAUCACGUUCAUAUGAUUCGCGUUCGAUACUUUGAUAAUUUGAUAUGUGGGUGGACCGGUGCUUGGGUGCUGUUCUUACUUGAACAAGCAUCCCACUUAUGAUUAACCUCUAUUGCAAGCAUCCGCAACUACAACAAAAGUAUUAAGGUAAACCUAACCAUAGCAUGAAACAUAUGGAUCCAAAUCAGCCCCUUACGAAGCAACGCAUAAACUAGGGUUUAAGCUUCUGUCACUCUAGCAACCCAUCAUCUACUUAUUACUUCCCAAUGCCUUCCUCUAGGCCCAAAUAAUGGUGAAGUGUUAUGUAGUCGACGUUCACAUAACACCACUAGAGGCUAGACAACAUACAUCUUAUCAAAAUAUCAAACGAAUACCAAAUCCACAUGACUACUCAUAGCAAGACUUCUCCCUUGUCCUCAGAAAUGAACGUAAUUACUCACAAAGCAUAUUCAUGUUCAUAAUCAGAGGGGUAAUAAUAUGCAUAUAGGAUCUGAACAUAUGAUCUUCCACCGAAUAAACCAACUAGCAUCAACUACAAGGAGUAAUCAACACUACUAGCAACCUACUAGCACCAAUCCCGAACUUUGAGACAAGAAUUGGAUACAAGAGAUGAACUAGGGUUUGGAGAUGAGAUGGUGCUGGUGAAGAUGUUGCUGGAUAUUGCCCUCUCCCGAUGAGACGAACGUUGGUGAUGAAGAUGGUGAUGAUUUCCCCCUCCCGGAGGGAAGUUUCCACGGCAGAACAGCUCUGCCGGAGCUCUAGAUUGGAUCCGCCAAGGUUCUGCCUUGUGGCGGCGGAGUCUUGUCCCAAAAAGGUCCUACUUAUUUUUUCUCAUUGAAAGACCUCAUAUAGGAGAAGAUGGGCGUCGAAGAGACACCAGGGGGCCCACGAGGUAGGGGGCGCACCCUAGGGGGGGCGUCCCCACCCUCGUGAGCAGGGUGUGGGCCCCUGGCCUUCAUCUUUGGCGUGGAUUUUUCUUUAUUUCUUUUAAGACGUUCCGUGGAGUUUCAGGACUUUUGGAGUUGCGCAAAAUAAGUCUCUAAUAUUUUCUCCUUUUCCAUACCAGAAUUCCAGCUGCCGGCAUUCUCCCUCCUUAUGUAAACCUUGUAAAAGAAGAGAGAAUAGCCAUAAGUAUUGUGACAUAAAGUGAAAUAACAGUCCAUAAUGCGAUAAAUAUCGAUAUAAAAGCAUGAUGCAAAAUGGACGUAUCAACUCCCCCAAGCUUAGACCUCGCUUGUCCUCAAGCGAAAAGCCGAUAACAAUAAAUAUGUCCUCGUGUUUAGAGGUAGAGGCGUCGAUAAAAAUAAAAUACGGACAUGAAGGCAUCAUGAUUAUUCUCAUAACAGCAACGUAUAUAGAUUCUGUCAUAUGAUUACUUAUGUUCAAGUGAUGAUCUAUUCACAAUGCAAGAGAUCAUAAACCUUAUCGGGCUCCGACAAACUAUAAUCUCAGUCAAUUUAUCAUAACAUCGGAAAGAGUCUAUGUCAGAGCUAAAAAGCAAGUCCACAUACUCAACUAUCAUUUAGCCCUCCAUAAUUGCUAACACUCACGCGAUACUUGUAGUUACAGAGUUUUAAUCGGACACAGAGAAAGAUAGGGGCUUAUAGUUUUGCCCCACAACCUUUUACCUCAAGGGUAAUGUCAACAAUAAUGGUUCGUGUUCCCCUACAUCCAAUUAGAUAUAUAUAUAUAUAUCAUGUUCUUUCCAACAUGCUGAGCUUGCCAAAGGAUAAAAUAAUAAAGAAAAGGUGAAGAUCACCAUGACUCUUGCAUAAGGUAGAAGAUAAUAAUAAAGGAUAGGCCCUUCGCAGAGGGAAGCAAAGGUUGCCAUGCGCUUUUAUGGUUGGAUAUAUAAAAUCUCAAUGCGAAAGAACGUCACUUUAUAUUGCCCCUUGUGAUAUGAACCUUUAUUAUGCAGUCCGUCGCUUUUAUUACUUCCACAUCACAAGAUCGUAUAAAGAUUAUUUCUCCCACACCCAUCAAUCAUACAUAUUUAGAGCAAUUUUUAUUGCUUUGCACCGAUGACAACUUACUUGAAGGAUCUUACUCAAUCCAUAGGUAGAUAUGGUGGACUCUCAUGGCAAAACUGGUUUAAGGAUAUUUGGAAGCACAAGUAGUAUUUCUACUUGGUGCUGAGAAUUUGGCUAGCAUGAGAGGGAAAUGCAAGCUCAACAAGUUAGACGAUCCAUGACAACAUACUUUAUCUCAGAUAUAAGAAAGACAUAACUCAUUACGUUGUCUUCCUUGUCCAACAUCAACUCUUUGGCAUGUCAUAUUUUAAUGAGUGCUCCCAAUCAUAAAAGAUGUCAAUGAUAAUAUAUCUAUAUGUGAAAACCUCUCUUUCCUUAUUACUUCCUAUUAAUUGCAACAAUGACCAAAGCUAUGUCUGCCAACUACCAACAACUUUUAAUCAUCAUACUCUUUCUAUGUGAAGUCAUUACUCUCAAUAAGAUCAAUAUGAACUUUUUGUUUCUUUUUAUUCUUUUCUCUUUUCUUUUAUUCACCCAAGAUCAUGGCAAAAUAAUCAAGCCCUUGACUCAACACUAAUCUUUAUUAUAUAUAGCUCACGGACUCGAUUACAUAGAGAGAUCAUAAAGCAAAACUCAAAACUAGAUCAUGCCAUAAACUUUAUUCUACUAGAUCAAGAUAUUAUCAAAUGGAUCGAAAUAAGAAAAAUGGUAAAGAUAGGAGUUUUGAUUGUGAUACGAUAUCAGGGCACCUCCCCCAAGCUUGGCAGUUGCCAAGGGGAGUGCCCGUACCCAUGUGAUUAUGUCUCCUUCUUUGUUGUUGGUGUAAUAUUCUUGGCGAUUAUUCUUCUCAGGAUACGGUUCUCCUCCUCGAGCUUAUUGACUUGCUGCUUGAGGUCCAUUAUUUCCUUACGAAGCUUUCCUAUGACAGCUAAAGCUCCUUGCACCCAAGGGUGUUGCAUAGCUGCGGGAGAACAAGUGACACUCCUCUUCAUAUUUUCAUAAGUAAGAAAUCUAACAUUAGAAGGGAUAACCGAGUUUGGAAUAGCUGAGCUCUGUAGUUCCCCCAUCAUGAACCCAUCUCGGAGGUGAGAGGUGACUUCUUGAUCGUCCAUAGCAUCUACUCUCAUCAAGUCAGCCUCCAUCUCCUCCUCCGUUGCUGGCCCAAAGUGGUCAGCGUCGCUGUUUGCCCUUGGUUCCGGUGCCGGAUUAGAUACCCGGCUCUCCCCGAUUGACUCUUGAGAAAACAUCUUGCUCUAAUCUGCAGCAACAACAACUCAAAAACAAAAACAGAGGAAAUUUGCGUGAUACGGGAGUUAAAACCUUCGGAAAAAUAUAUAAUGAAUUUUUACCGACCAAAAUACGUAAUGUGCAAGAAAACGGAGUCCGAAAAGCACACGAGGUGCUCACGAGGUAGGGGCUGUGCCCAGGGGGUAGGGCGUGCCACCACCCUCGUGGGGCCCUCGUGUCCUUCCCGGACUACUACUUAUUUUUCUAUUUUUCUAAAUAUUCCAAAACGGAGAAAUAUUGCCUUAAAAAUUGUUUUGGAGUCGGUUUACUUACCGUACCACAUACCUAUUCCUUUUCGGAGUCUGAAACGUUCCGGAAAGUGUCCCUUAUGUAUUCUUCCGGGGUUACGGUUUCAAUAAUAUUGGUUUCAAUAUUUAUGGGAUUACCUGAGAUAUAAUGUUUGAUUCUUUGACCGUUCACCACCUUCGGAUUUGUGCCCUCGAAAUUAUUGAUUUUUAUGGCACCGGAAUGAUAGACCUCUUCGAUAACAUAGGGGCCUUCCCAUUUAAAGAGAAGUUUUCCUACAAAAAAUCUUAAAUGAGAGUUGUAUAGCAAUACAUAAUCACCUACAUUAAACUCACGCUUUUGUAUCCUUUUAUCAUGCCAUCUUUUAAAUUUUUCUUUAAACAACUUGGCAUUUUCAUAUGCUUGGGUUCUCCAUUCAUCAAGUGAGCUAAUAUCAAAUAACCUCUUUUCACCGGCAAGUUUAAAAUCAUAGUUGAGCUCUUUAAUAGCCCAAUAUGCCUUAUGUUCUAGUUCGAGAGGUAAGUGACAUGAUUUUCCAUAAACCAUUUUAUACAGAGACAUACCCAUAGGAUUUUUGUAUGCAGUUCUAUAAGCCCAUAACGCAUCAUCAUGUUUCUUGGACCAAUUCUUUCUAGACCUAUUAAUAGUCUUUUGCAAAAUUAAUUUGAGCUCUCUAUUGCUCAACUCUACUUGACCACUAGACUGUGGGUGAUAAGGAGAUGCAAUUCUAUGAUUAACAUCAUAUUUAGCAAGCAUUUUACGGAAAGCACCAUGAAUAAAGUGUGAACCACCAUCAGUCAUUAAAUAUCUAGGGACUCCAAACCUCAGGAAAAUAACUUCCUUAAGCAUUUUAAUAGAAGUGUUAUGAUCAACACUACUAGUUGGAAUAUCUUCUACCCACUUAGUAACGUAAUCAACAGCAACUAGAAUAUGUGUGUAUCCAUUAGAGCCAGGAAAAGGUCCCAUAUAAUCAAAGCCCCAAACAUCAAACAGUUCAAUAACAAGAGAACAAUUCAUAGGCAUUUCUUGACGUCUACUAAUAUUACCAAUUCUUUGACAUUCAUCACAAGACAAGACAAACUUACGGGCAUCCUUGAAGAGAGUAGGCCAAUAAAAACCAGAUUGCAAUACCUUAUGUGCAGUUCUAUCUCCAGCGUGGUGUCCUCCAUAAGACUCGGAAUGACACUUGCGUAGGAUCUGUUCCUGUUCAUGCUUAGGUACACAACGUCUAAUAACACCAUCUACUCCUUCUUUAUAAAGAUGUGGGUCAUCCCAAAAGUAAUAUCUUAAAUCAUAGAAGAACCUUUUCUUUUGUUGGUAUGUGAAGCUAGGUGGUAUAAACUUAGCAACAAUAUAAUUAGCAUAAUCAGCAUACCAUGGAGUACUACGAGAAGUACUUAUAACAUUUAAUUGUUCAUCAGGAAAGUUAUCAUUAAUAGGUAGUGGGUCAUCAAGAAUAUUUUCUAACCUAGACAAGUUGUCUGCAACGGGGUUCUCAGCUCCCUUUCUAUCAACAAUAUGCAAAUCAAAUUCUUGUAGCAAGAGAACCCAUCUAAUAAGUCUAGGUUUAGCAUCUUUCUUUUCCAUGAGAUAUUUAAUAGCAACAUGAUCUGUUUGAAUAGUUACUUUAGAAUCAACAAUAUAAGAUCUGAACUUAUCACAAGCAAAUACAACUGCUAAAAGCUCUUUUUCAGUAGUAGCAUAAUUUCUUUGAGCAUUGUCUAGAGUCUUACUAGCGUAAUGAAUAACAUUUAAUUUCUUGUCAAUUCUUUGCCCUAGAACAGCACCUACAACAUAAUCACUAGCAUCACACAUAAUUUCAAAGGGUAAAUUCCAAUCAGGUGGCUGAACAACAGGUGCAGUGACUAAUGCUUUCUUAAGUAUUUCAAAUGCUUCUACACAAUCAUCAUCAAAGACAAAUGGUAUAUCUUUUUGCAAUAAAUUAGUCAGAGGUCGAGAAAUUUUUGAGAAGUCCUUAAUGAACCUCCUGUAAAAUCUGGCGUGACCAAGGAAACUUCUUAUACCUUUGAUGUCCUUGGGACAUGGCAUCUUUUCAAUAGCAUCAACCUUGGCUUUAUCAACUUCAAUACCUCUUUCAGAAACUUUGUGCCCCAAGACAAUACCUUCAUUAACCAUAAAGUGACACUUUUCCCAAUUCAAGACAAGAUUAGUUUCUUCACAUCUCUGCAAAACUCGAUCAAGAUUGCUCAAGCAAUCAUCAAAAGAGGAACCAUAAACGGAAAAAUCAUCCAUGAAAACCUCACAAAUCUUUUCACAAAAGUCAGAGAAUAUAGCCAUCAUGCAUCUUUGAAAGGUAGAAGGUGCAUUACAUAAACCAAAAGGCAUACGUCUAUAAGCAAAAGUACCAAAAGGGCAUGUAAAAGUAGUUUUUGAUUGAUCUCUAGCCGACACAUGUAUUUGAGAGAAACCGAAAUAACCAUCUAGAAAGCAAUAGUGUGUAUGUUUGCAUAAUCUUUCUAGCAUUUGAUUAAUAAAAGGUAAGGGUAAUGAUCUUUCUUAGUAGCUUUAUUUUAUUUGCGGAAAUCAAUUACCAUACUAUAACCUAUCAUAAUUCUUUGUGCAAUCAAUUCAUCUUUAUCAUUAGGAACAACAGUAAUACCCCCCUUCUUAGGGACACAAUGGACAAGACUUACCCACUCACUAUCAGCAACGGGAUAGAUUAUACCUGCCUCCAGAAGCUUUAGUAUUUCUUUUCUUACCACUUCUUUCAUUUUAGGAUUCAGACGUCGUUGAGGAUCUCGAACUGGUUUGGCAUCUGCUUCCAAAUUUAUUUUAUGUCGACAUAGAGUGGGACUAAUGCCCUUAAGAUCAUCAAGAGUAUAUCCAAUAGCAGCACGGUGCUUCUUCAAAAUUUUCAAUAAUCUUUUUUCUUCAUGCUCUGAAAGGUUAGCACUAAUAAUAACAGGAUAUAUCUUCUUUUCAUCAAGAUAAGCAUAUUUAAGGUUAUCAGUAAUAGAGCAUUUCCUCAUAUAAUCUUUUUAGCCUUUUUGCAUCACAUUGUAAUCAUAUUUUCACAUUAUUUACUCAAGAAAUAUUCGGAUGUUACCGUUAUAUUACAUUUACAACACUCCUCCAUGUUUUGCAGAAAAGGGCGAAAAGGCCCAAAAUCCUUCUAUAAUGGAGAGUGUCAAGAAGUUGUGGUUACUGUAAUUUACGAAGGGAGUCAAGCGUGAAGAAAAAGAAGUAAUCAGAGGGGCCGAACUUAAGAAGAGGAUCAACUUGUGCAGAGAGAAGAAAAGGACAGGGGCCAACGUGCAAAUGGAAGAUCCGAUCGGGGGAAUCAAAUCCCUAGCGCUCUCAAUCCCCAAAAUUGGGCCUGACAUCACAUCUCUCUCCCUCACCCUUCCUUCUCCACCUCCGGCCGCCGCCACGGCCAGGCCAUCGUGGUGGUGCGCCUCCGCACCAUAAGCACACCCACCACAAACAUCCACCACUCACCACCAACUUCACCACCAACACCCAUCUCGCCUGCCGUACCCGCGCGCCUCCACCUGCUGCUGAUUCUCCUUGCUGCUCCCUUUGCCUACCUCGUUGUUGUUCUUCUUCCCGACGUCCUCCUUGCUGCCCUUCUGCUUCUCCUCUGCUUCCCCUCUACUAGCGCCUCAACCUGCUGCUUCUUCUUCCCCAAACUUUGCUGCUGCUCCUUCCCUCUCCUCACGUCCCUGCUGCUGCACUUCUUCUCUCCCAACGCUACUGCUGCUACUACACUCUACUGCUUCCUCUUGCUAACCUGCUGCCACUUCUUCUCUCCUAUCUUCUUCUCCUAUAGCCCUUCUGCUACUCCUUCCCUCGUCCUUGCUGCUGCUCUCUCCCUCUCCUAGCGCUGCUGCUUCUCUUCUAUUCAACGCCUGCUGCUGUUCUUCUUCUUGCGCCACUGUUGCUGCUCUCUUCUUCCCCUCAACCUCCUGCUGUAGCCUCUUCAUCUUCUCUGAACAUCUCCUUUUCUAUACUGCUGAAGCUUACUGCUGCUGCUCUCUCUCUAAAGUUUAUGUAAUUUAAGAUGUUUAGCACAUGUAAUAUUCAGAUUUUAUAAGAGCUUGCAACUUGAUUAUUGUUCAGUUUUUAUCUGUAAAAUUCUAUGUUCCGAAUAGUGUAUGUCUUGUUGCUUUGGGAAUUAACUGAUAUAUGAUAUGUUGUUGCUUUGGUAACUAGUGCUCUGUCACCUUAUAUGUGUGUUCACCCUGUGUAUUUCUUCUCGCUGUACUCAUUAAUUUUUAC